CUGGACGGGGUGAAUAUCCCAAGGCGCGUGAGAGAACCCUGGUUAAGGAACUCGCAAAUUGACACCGUAACUUCGGGAGAAGGUGUGCCGCUGGCGGUUAGUGACUUCGCGUCACGAAGCUGUUGGUGGUCGCAGUGAAAUGGCGGUUGUGACUGUUUACUAAAAACACAGGACUCUGCGAAGUCGUAAGACGACGUAUAGGGUCUGAUGCCUGCCCGGUGCUGGAAGGUUAAGGGGAUAUGUCAGCGCAAGCGAAGCAUUGAACCGAAGCCCCAGUAAACGGCGGCCGUAACUAUAACGGUCCUAAGGUAGCGAAAUUCCUUGUCGGGUAAGUUCCGACCUGCACGAAGGGCAUAACAACAUCCGCACUGUCUCGACCAGGGACUCAGCGAAAUUACAUUGGGGGUGAAGAUGCCUCUACCCGCGGAAAGACGGAAAGACCCCAUGAACCUUUACUGCAACUUGGCAGUGAUUUUCGGGUUGUUCUGCGUAGGAUAGGUGGGAGGCUUUGAAGCCGGGCUUCCGGGUUCGGCAGAGCCAACGUUGAAAUACCACCCUGAAUAAUCUGGAAAUCUAACCUGCGCCCAUGAUCUGGGCGAGGGACACUGCCUGGUGGGCAGUUUGACUGGGGCGGUCGCCUCCUAAAUUGUAACGGAGGCGUGCGACGGUUCCCUCAGGCUGAUUGGAAACCAGCCGUAGAGUGCAAACGCAUAAGGGAGCUUUACUGCGAGACUGACAAGUCGACCAGUUGCGAAAGCAGGUGUUAGUGAUCCGGUGGUACCACAUGGAAGGGCCAUCGCUCAUCGGAUAAAAGGUACUCUGGGGAUAACAGGCUGAUCGCGCCUGAGAGUUCACAUCGGCGGCGCGGUUUGGCACCUCGAUGUCGGCUCAUCGCAUCCUGGGGCUGGAGCAGGUCCCAAGGGUUUGGCUGUUCGCCAAUUAAAGCGGUACGCGAGCUGGGUUUAAAACGUCGUGAGACAGUUUGGUCCCUAUCUUCCGUGGGCGCAGGACACUUGAGAGGAGCUAUCCAUAGUACGAGAGGACCUGGAUGGACGAACCUCUGGUGCUCCGGUUGUCACGCCAGUGGCAUAGCCGGGUAGCCAUGUUCGGAACAGAUAACCGCUGAAGGCAUAUAAGCGGGAAGCUGGCCUCAAGACUAGGUGUCCCUGACGCAAGUCACUAAAGGCCCCUCGAAGACUACGAGGUUGAUAGGCUCGGUGUGGAAGCACAGCGAUGUGCGGAGCUAACGAGUACUAAUAGGCCGUGCGGCUUGACCU
Molecule: ribosomal RNA, 1277 nt
Filed under: metagenome
Description: bacterial LSU rRNA
Rfam family: Bacterial large subunit ribosomal RNA
Source: RNAcentral